RNAcentral lists this ribosomal RNA (1389 nucleotides) under Triticum aestivum (bread wheat). RNAcentral describes it as "partial small subunit ribosomal RNA". The record is from RNAcentral. Lineage: Eukaryota; Viridiplantae; Streptophyta; Magnoliopsida; Poales; Poaceae.
AUGGCCACCACCGUCAACCCCGCGGAUCCGGAGGCGCUAGAAGGCGGCGACGGCGACAGGAAACCGAUCAGGGGCGCCGCCAUGUCCCUGCUUGUCCGGGCGCGCGACAACAUGGCGUUCCGGUCGGUGUGGUCGGAGCUGAACGGCGCCAUGGGCGACCUGGGCACGUACAUCCCCAUCGUGCUCUCGCUGGCGCUCUCCCGCGGCCUCGACCUCGGCACCACCCUCGUCUUCACCGGCGUCUACAACGCCGUCACGGGCCUCCUCUACGGCGUCCCCAUGCCCGUCCAGCCCAUGAAGACCAUCGCCGCCGUCGCCCUCUCCGACGCCUCCUUCGGGGUCCCCGAGAUGAUGGCCGCCGGCAUCCUCACCUCGGCGUUCGUAUUCGUCCUCGGGGUCACCCGCCUUAUGAAGCUCGUCUACUGGUUCGUGCCGCUCCCCGUCGUCCGCGGCAUCCAGCUCGCCCAGGGGCUCAACUUUGCCAUGGCCGCCGUCAAGUACAUCCGCUACGAGCAGGACCUGGCGAAGAGCAAGUCCCUCGGUCGGCGCCCCUGGGCUGGGCUCGACGGCCUCGCCCUCGCCAUCGCCGCCAUCUUCUUCGUCGUCCUCGUCAACGGCGCUGGCGACGAUCACAGCACCGCCGUCCAAGAAGAAGAAGUGGGACGAGAUCGGGAGGAGGAUAGCUCUUCUUCCCUCUGGCGUAGCUGGAGGAGGCGCUUGCGGUCGGCGACGAUCCCGUCGGCGGUGAUCCUGUUCGUGCUGGGCGUGGUCCUCGCCAUCAUCCGGCACCCGGCGGCGGUGAGGGAGCUGCGCGCGGGGCCGUCGCGGAUGCGCGUGGUGCGCAUACCGAGGGAGGCGUGGAAGCAGGGGCUGAUCAAGGGCGCGAUCCCGCAGAUCCCGCUCUCGGUGCUCAACUCGGUGGUGGCGGUGUGCAAGCUGACGCGCGACCUGUUCCCGGAGAAGAAGGAGGCGUCGGCGACGUCGGUGUCGGUGACCAUGGGCGCCAUGAACCUGGUGGGGUGCUGGUUCGGCGCCAUGCCGUGCUGCCACGGCGCGGGCGGGCUGGCGGGGCAGUACAAGUUCGGCGGGCGCAGCGGCGCGUGCGUGGCUGCGCUGGGCGGGCUGAAGCUGGCGCUGGGGCUGGCGCUCGGCGGCUCCGUGCUGCGCGUGCUCGCCGCGUUCCCCGUGGGGCUGCUGGGCGUGCUGCUGCUGUUCGCCGGCGUGGAGCUGGCCAUCGCGGCCAGGGACAUGUCGUCCAAGGCGGAGGCGUUCGUCAUGCUCGUCUGUACCGCCGUGUCGCUCGUCGGCUCCAGCGCCGCGCUGGGGUUCCUCUGCGGCAUGGUCGCGCACGGCCUGCUGCUGCUCAGGGCACGCGCCAUUUCCAUCUGA